UGCUUGUAGCAUAGUCAUUUUGUGAAUGUUGCUCGUGCUUCUGACAUUAUAUGUGGGUUUGUAUGCUAUAUAAAAUAGGUGUGUACCUACAUUAUAUCAAUUGGAAUGUAUUGUCUCUAGCUCAGCUCAGUAAGAUACCGUAGCAGUUCGUUAGCGUAGCCGUUUGUUAGCAAAGCGGCUAGCAGCAUCCUUCGACUCAGCGGGAGAGUGCGGUAUUUUAGGUGUUGCGUCAGCUCACACUGGUUGUUUUUAAACUGUGGAAUAUUCAGUGAUUAAAUUGCAAUGUUUUGCCAUUAGCUUAGCUUAGUAAGCUAUCGUAACUUAGCGGGUAGUUAGCGUAACGGCUAGUUAGCCGCCAUUGUUCUCUGACUCGGCCAGAGAGUGAUGUGUUGUAACUUAGGGGAGAGGGGUGUCGAACGGAGCAUUUUUUCAUAUUUCCCUCUCUGCACAGAGAUGCAUUUAUUUAUAGUAACAACAUUUAAUAGUGAACAACAUACAUAUGUCCUCUACAAAUCCCGACCAUGUUUGCAAAGUUUGGAUGAAUGAGUCGCACUCAAUCUAGCAGGAAACGAAGCUCAUCUGCCUCCGCAUGCAGGAAUGAACAGAUCCAUGUUAUAAUUAACUGCAAAACACGUAAAUAACUUCAUAUUACUGGUGUGUAACACUCAUUAAUGCUUAAGCUGAGUCCUCUGGGAAAUGAGAAUGUCCAAUUGAAAUAAUCUUCUCAUGUUUAAUGUCUGAAAAUGAAUUACAUUUGUCCAGUGCUCUGUGAUAUAGCCUACUGUGUUUAAGAAAGCAUGUUCCAAUGUAAUUAAAGCUUUAUGUGUUUGUGAACAUAAUUGAUUUAAUAAUACAAGUAGACAGUAUUUGAAGAAGAAGUUAGAAUGCAGUGUGGUCGUGAAACUGUUUGGCCUUGUCAAUCAAAAAAGUGUAUCAGUUGUGUGUGUGUGUGUGUGUGUGUGUGUUUGUGUCAGCUGCUGUAAAUGUCAAAUCAUUAGUAAAUUAUCAGUUUGAUUUUAAUAUGCUUAAUAACUGGGUCUUUAAUACUUUUAGAUGCCCCGUGGCAAGUCCUACCGCUGCUCUGAGGCAGCUAAGUUGCUGGUGCAUGUAUGUGGCGUGCCUUCUUGAAAUCAACUUUUCACGUAUAUCCUUCUGUAUGACUGAGUUAAACUCCUAACUUUGUGUAUUUUUAUAGUCUUGAAAAGUUCACAUAUUGUAUUGAAGUGCUUGAACUUUGAAUUUGGUCUCUUUUUUUUUUUUAAAACCAUUUUAUGUUCAUCAACAGCUUGUGGCACAGGGUGGUGCUACAAAGUGCACAAACGGUCAAUUUCUGAGCACACUGGGCGCCAGCAUAAAUUGGUCAUUCCAGAUGAGGUCCCAAGCAAGAAGGUAUGUACAAUUCAUGAAGAUUUCACUGAUGAUUAGAAGUUUUAGUUGUGUGUUUUCAGCCUAAAAGAAAUCCUGUCUUUUGUUCCAGUUUGUUCUUCUUGUAGGGGCGUCCCAUCUGCACUCCCUUGCAGAUGGGAUUGUGCUGAUGCCAGAGGAUUGCUACACCUUUGGCGUCAUGUCCACUCCAGGGGCGUGAACUGACAAGCUCAGGACUGAGGAUGAAAAUGCUGAUCUUCCUCGGAUCUCUGAUGCUGUCUGUGUCAUGGCCCCUAGAAACAACCUGAAAGCCAGCAAGACGCCUAAGCAAGGAGGCAUAGCUUUUGGCCAAUACCUGGCCACUGUCUGCAGCGUCUGGCCGACUGCACAGGUCUUCGCUGGGACCUUGUCCCAUGCUUGACAGUCCCGGGGGAUAUCCAAGAGUUUUUCCGGCAUGAAUUUCACCGCGUGUCAACACGUCUUGGUGUGAAAUAUUUUCACCAAGCUGACCGCUUCCCCCUAAACAACCGCAAGCUGUGGUGCUGUGAUGGUGUGCACCCCAGUGACGACAUGGGGAUGCCUAUCCUCGUGGAGUCGCUGUUGGCUGCCACCAAACAGCACCUGGAGAUACCAGCACCUAAGCCACAGGUGUCGCGCCCGGUGUCUCCCAAGCCUCUGCCAAAGGUGGUUCCACGUGUGAUUGUGGUGGGGGAGGUAAGAGGAACCACUCUGAACAUGAGCAUGGCUCUGGUUCAUCACAGAGAUGAGUGGUUCAUCAUGUGGUAUGUUUAACCAUGAUAUUUACAUAACAGUGAUAGUUUGUGUGCUUUAUCUAAGAAAAUGACAAGUGUUAGAAAUAAUCUACAUGUCUGUCAGGUGGAUGGAGCUCCAGUGGCCUUGCGAGAGUGUUUCAUUCAUAUUGUAUAUGGAUUACGCUCGUGUAAUAUCACAUAGGAUUAUGCUUGCGCGGGUCCUAGUCCUUUUUUUUUUUUGUUAACCAACUGGUCUUUUUGUGCAUGUUGGGGUAGUUCCUAGGGGGUAGUCUAGCUGUUCUUAAGUGCAUUCACAAGACACCCGAAGAAGCCCAUAGAGAUACUGUUUGUGUGUCACUAAGGAUAGUCAGGUGUCUGGUUAUGACAAGUUCGAAGAGACAACUCCGUAGUUCUGGUUGGAGGAGGGUUCCUUGGGGGUAGUCUAGCUGUUCUUUUAAGUGCAUUCAAUGGCACAAGACAUGUUCCUGAUCAAAUAUGUAAUGUAAUUAAUGUAUGUAAUAAUUUGCAAUAAAAUUGUAUGAUAUUUUA
Molecule: non-coding RNA, 2666 nt
Organism: Epinephelus lanceolatus (giant grouper)
Lineage: Eukaryota; Metazoa; Chordata; Actinopteri; Perciformes; Serranidae
Source: RefSeq, a predicted model, not a curated record